This is an RNA transcript of Gossypium raimondii (Peruvian cotton), 2771 nucleotides long. RefSeq lists it as uncharacterized. The record is from RefSeq and is a predicted model, not a curated record. Lineage: Eukaryota; Viridiplantae; Streptophyta; Magnoliopsida; Malvales; Malvaceae. The transcript is spliced from 9 exons.
GCUAGGUUCUUUCAAAGCAAAAAUCCCAGCAUCAUCCAUAGCUGUAAGAAAAUUUGAAAAAAAAAAAAACCAGACAUGGAAGCCACUGCUGUUUAUAGCAGCAAAGGAAGUCCAUUUCUUUUUUCCUCUAGGAUUACAACUAAAAAAUCAUUUAAAUCAUCACAAAAUGCUGCAACUUUCUCACCUUUUCUCAUUCAAUCCAUGGCUACUCAGAAACCAUUGCCUUCAGGUGCCAAAACUGUUGGUUCUAGAAAGGGCUCGAACUCGACCGUUUUUCCGCUCGGCGAGCCAGGGCCAAGGAACAGCACAGUGGUGACACAACCAGUGAAGCUACUGACAAAUGUAGAGAAACUGAAACUGCUAACCAAAGCAGAGAAAGCAGGGCUACUAUCCGCGGCAGAGAAGUUCGGGUUAUCGUUAUCGUCCAUAGAGAAACUCGGGGUCCUAUCCAAGGCCGAAGAGUUCGGGGUGUUGUCGGCGGCGACAGACCCUGGAACUCCAGGAGCACUAUUGACACUAAGCGUGGGAUUACUGCUAUUGGGUCCAUCAUGUGUUUACCUUGUGCCUGAAGAUAACUUGGGGGAAAUAGUGUUGCAGGUUGUGGUGGCACUUGUAUGUGUUGCUGGUGGAUCAGCAGCUUUUGCUGCUUCAAAUCUUGUUUCAAAUUUGCAGAAAUCAAGCUGAAAAUUUGGAUUUCAAGGAAGCAAAAUCUUGCAUCAAGCUAUAUUUGCGGGCUGGGCAAAAAUUGGGCCCUACAGCUGCCCCUCUUUGCUCGUUGUCGUGUAACGGGAACAGAACAAAGACUAUAAGCCCAAUUGUGCCCAGUCAAUAGAUUGAAGAUUACAGAUCUUGCCUCCCUAAGCAGUAGAGGAGCAGAUCGAAGAUGGCGGAUUUUACCUCCCUGAGGUUACAGUGGAGUACAUUGAAGCCAGUAAUUCUAUCUCCCUGGGCAACAGUGGAAUAGAUUGAAGAUUACUCGGCGAUUUCGGCGAAAAGGUAAGUUUCCUCUUCCCUCUUUUCUUUAUAUUUUUAAUGUAAAAAAAAUAAAUCGAAACAAAAAUAAAAGACCAAAUAUAGUGGCCCAAAAAUUAAUUAAUUACAGGCCCAAAAUAAUGUCAGCCCAACAAGCCCAAACCUUAACCAAUUGAAAGGGGGUUGCUAGUCAACAAAGUUCAAUGAGACAGGAAUCUGGAGUGAAACCAGGUACUGAGAAGCUCCAGUUCACGCCAAUUCCGAUGUCGUAUAAGGAGCUGUAUCAAAGCUUAUUUGAUGGUCUAAGGCGCCCUUUGCGGGACUUUGCAGGUUUGAAAGUAACAUGCCACACCCAAUACGUUAGGGCACGACAAUUAACCUGGAAACCAACCAACCAACCCAACACCGAUACGGCACUCGGGCAAAGACGAAAGAUAUGGAUCAGAGAUUGGAAAAGCUCGAACAGUAUCAGAAGGAGAUGCAGGACCGACUUCAGCUACAGGUGCAGGAGCGGUUAGACAAGAUGAAAGAUGUCUGAGAAGAUGCGAGAAUCCCAAGAAGAUAUAGUGACAAAGUUAACCAGCACCAACUCGGCGAUUUCGGCGAAAAGACGUGAGCUGCUAGUUGAAAAACUCAUCAACAUGGGUGUUGUCAAGUUGGGUGACUCAUCAAGUGCAGAAAAUCCGUUACUCAAUCAUGAUUGAGGAUGGAGGCACUGAAUGUAUGAAGAAGUGGUGAAAAAUUUGCACAUCGAUGCCAUAUAUGCAGACACAUUUUAAAAGGAUCCUUGUUAGAUAUUCGCCACUCAAAUCCCUUUUGGUCUAAGGCGCCCUUUGCAGGACUUUGCAGGUUUAUCAUCCAUCUCGCUCAAAAUCAAAGCUCCUUUGGGGAAAAAAAAAACCUUCUCUAUAAUCAUAAGGUUCUUCCGGAACGGAAACAAUGGAGGACCGAAAGGGAAAUUAUUUCCACCUUCCCAAAACGCUGCGCAGAGAUGGGCCAAAUUGAAACAAAAACGAAAUAUGCGGCUUAAUUUUUAAAAAAAUAACAAAAUGGGCUUGAUUGAAGCGCGUCGCAAGCAGGAGGGGCCAAUUGCGCAAAUUUACCCUUUAAGGCCAGAACGCUCGAAUCCUCCCCUCCGGGUCGGGUCACUGCGCGGCUCAUGUCCUCCUAAACGGCGCCGUUUUACGUUUUGUUUUAAAUUAAAAAAAUAGAAAAAGAAUUAGGGAAAAAUCUGUUUUCCCUUUCCUUGAAGCAGACUGCUUCUUUAGGGUUUUAUCAACCCUUCAGCGCCGCCGUUUUCAAGAACCCAUACGGCCUCCGUUGAUGCCCGGUCUCCAAUCGCGACGGAGAGGGCACCAACUCGGCGAUUUCGGCGAAAAAGUACGAAAGUAGUGGAGGAGGCGCACGUGCGCGGAGGGUCGUUCUACGAUAUUCACGGCGGCGUGCAGGGGCGAAUCGCUACAGCGGCUACUAGGGUUUUUGUUUUUGAUUUGGCUGAAAAUUUGUUAAGCUUUGGGCUUGCUAGGCUGUUAGUAUUUUGGGCUUGUAAUUAAGGUUAAUAUUUGGGCUAUUGGAUUGGGGCUUUGGUUUGUACGGGCCACUGUUAUUUGUAUUUGUUUUUAUUAUUUAGUUGUAUUAUUUGUAUAUGGGCUGGGCAAAAAUUGGGCCCUACAACUACCCCUCUUUGCUCGUUGUCGUGUAACGGGAACAGAGCAAAGACUAUAAGCCCAAUUGUGCCCAGUCUUACUGAGCCUCGACUUCUUCAAUGCUUCUCUACUUCAAAUAGCCUCGUUCCUUCU